RNAcentral lists this ribosomal RNA (1301 nucleotides) under metagenome. RNAcentral's name for it is "bacterial LSU rRNA". It matches the Rfam family "Bacterial large subunit ribosomal RNA", at positions 1632 to 2925 of the family's 2925-position model. The record is from RNAcentral.
GCCUACACGACCGUACCGCAAACCGACACUGGUGCGCGAGAUGAGUAUUCUAAGGCGCUUGAGAGAACUCAGGAGAAGGAACUCGGCAAAUUGACACCGUAACUUCGGAAGAAGGUGUGCCUUUAGUAGGUGAACCUGUACAAGGGGAGCCCAAUGAGGUUGCAAAAAAUCGGUGGCUGCGACUGUUUAAUAAAAACACAGCACUCUGCAAACACGAAAGUGGACGUAUAGGGUGUGACGCCUGCCCGGUGCUGGAAGAUUAAAUGAUGGGGUGCAAGCUCUUGAUUGAAGUCCCAGUAAACGGCGGCCGUAACGAUAACGGUCCUAAGGUAGCGAAAUUCCUUGUCGGGUAAGUUCCGACCUGCACGAAUGGCGUAACGAUGGCCACACUGUCUCCUCCUGAGACUCAGCGAAGUUGAAAUGUUUGUGAUGAUGCAAUCUCCCCGCGGAAAGACGGAAAGACCCCAUGAACCUUUACUGUAGCUUUGUAUUGGACUUUGAACAGAUCUGUGUAGGAUAGGUGGGAGGCUUUGAAGUGUGGUCGCUAGAUCGCAUGGAGCCAACGUUGAAAUACCACCCUGGUGUGUUUGAGGUUCUAACCUAGGCCCGUAAUCCGGGUCGGGGACAGUGCAUGGUAGGCAGUUUGACUGGGGCGGUCUCCUCCCAAAGCGUAACGGAGGAGUUCGAAGGUACGCUAGGUACGGUCGGACAUCGUGCUAAUAGUGCAAUGGCAUAAGCGUGCUUAACUGCGAGACUGACAAGUCGAGCAGAUGCGAAAGCAGGACAUAGUGAUCCGGUGGUUCUGUAUGGAAGGGCCAUCGCUCAACGGAUAAAAGGUACUCUGGGGAUAACAGGCUGAUACCGCCCAAGAGUUCAUAUCGACGGCGGUGUUUGGCACCUCGAUGUCGGCUCAUCUCAUCCUGGGGCUGUAGCCGGUCCCAAGGGUAUGGCUGUUCGCCAUUUAAAGAGGUACGUGAGCUGGGUUUAAAACGUCGUGAGACAGUUUGGUCCCUAUCUUCCGUGGGCGCUGCAGAUUUGAGGAAGCCUGCUCCUAGUACGAGAGGACCGGAGUGGACACACCUCUGGUGUAUCGGUUGUCACGCCAGUGGCAUUGCCGAGUAGCUAUGUGUGGAAGAGAUAACCGCUGAAAGCAUCUAAGCGGGAAGCUCGUUUCAAGAUGAGAUCUGCCGGGGCCUUGAGCCCCCUAAAGAGUCGUUCGAGACCAGGACGUUGAUAGGUCGGGUGUGGAAGCGCAGUAAUGCGUUAAGCUAACCGAUACUAAUUGCUCGUGCGGCUUGACC